UGCGCCGAAAAUGUCCGGGGCUAAAACACAACACCGAAGCUUAGGAAUUCUAAUGAAUUGGUAGAGGAGCAUUGAAGACGGAACGAAGCCAUACCGAAAGGAAUGGUGGACUGUCUUGAAGAGAGAAUGCCGGAAUGAGUAGCGAGAUUGAAGUGAGAAUCUUCAAGGCCGAAUAUCUAAGGUUUCCAGGGUAAAGCUGAUCUGCCCUGGGUAAGUCGGGGCCUAAGGCGAGGUCGAAAGACGUAGCCGAUGGACAACAGGUUGAGAUUCCUGUACUGCUGUAUAACAGAACUGUGGGGACACAGGCAGAGAGCGUGAGCCGGGAAUGGAAAGACCGGUGCAAGCGAGGUACCUGUACAUUAGGCAAAUCCGGUGUACAAAGGGAAGACGUGAUGCGGACCGAAUUAAGAGUAGGGAAGUGUGUGAGCCAUGCGUCAAGAAAAGCCGCUAUUGUUUGUACAGUACCCGUACCGUAAACCGACACAGGUGGAUGAGGAGAGAAUCCUAAGGCCGACGGAAGAAGCAUUGUUAAGGAAUUCGGCAAAAUGACCCCGUAACUUCGGGAGAAGGGGUGCCUGCGAGAGCAGGCCGCAGAGAAUAGGCUCAAGCAACUGUUUAGCAAAAACACAGGUCUAUGCGAAACCGAAAGGUGAAGUAUAUGGGCUGACGCCUGCCCGGUGCUGGAAGGUUAAGAGGAGAGGUUAGCGCAAGCGAAGCUUUGAAUUUAAGCCCCAGUAAACGGCGGCCGUAACUAUAACGGUCCUAAGGUAGCGAAAUUCCUUGUCGGGUAAGUUCCGACCCGCACGAAAGGCGUAAUGAUUUGGGCACUGUCUCGACAAUGCACCCGGUGAAAUUGAAAUACCAGUGAAGAUGCUGGUUACCUGCGCCAGGACGGAAAGACCCCAUGGAGCUUUACUCUAGCUUGAUACUGGGGUUCGGUAUUGCAUGUACAGGAUAGGUGGGAGACUGAGAAGAUGUGUCGCCAGAUGCAUCAGAGUCGAUGUUGGGAUACCACCCCUGCAGUACUGGGCUUCUAACCUGCAGCCGUGACCCGGCUGGGGGACAAUGUCUGGUGGGGAGUUUGACUGGGGCGGUCGCCUCCGAAAGGGUAUCGGAGGCGCUCAAAGGUUCCCUCAGAAUGGUUGGAAACCAUUUGAAGAGUGCAAAGGCAGAAGGGAGCUUGACUGCGACACCGACGGGUGGAGCAGGUACGAAAGUAGGACUUAGUGAUCCGGUGGUAUAAAGUGGGAUUGCCAUCGCUCAACGGAUAAAAGCUACCCUGGGGAUAACAGGCUUAUCACUCCCAAGAGUUCACAUCGACGGAGUGGUUUGGCACCUCGAUGUCGGCUCAUCGCAUCCUGGGGCUGUAGUAGGUCCCAAGGGUUGGGCUGUUCGCCCAUUAAAGCGGUACGCGAGCUGGGUUCAGAACGUCGUGAGACAGUUCGGUCCCUAUCCGGCGUGGGCGUAGGAUAUCUGAGAGGAGCUGUCCUUAGUACGAGAGGACCGGGAUGGACUGACCUCUGGUGCACCGGUUGCAUUGCCAAAUGCAUAGCCGGGUAGCCAAGUCGGGACGGGAUAAACGCUGAAGGCAUCUAAGCGUGAAGCCCCCCUCAAGAUGAGAUAUCCCAUUCGAAAGAAGUAAGACCCCUUGAAGACGACGAGGUAGAUAGGGCAGAGGUGGAAGUGCAGUAAUGUAUGGAGCUGACUGUUACUAAUCGGUCGAGGGUUUGACCUG
This 1735-nucleotide ribosomal RNA is filed under the name human gut metagenome. RNAcentral's name for it is "bacterial LSU rRNA". It matches the Rfam family "Bacterial large subunit ribosomal RNA", at positions 1160 to 2925 of the family's 2925-position model. The record is from RNAcentral.